AUGUCCAUUAUACAAAUCAUGAUCGACAACUAUCAUCAAAUAUUUGGAAAUUAUAAUAUAUUUUAUAAACGUAUUGACAGAAGAUCUGAGGAUUUAAAGACUUGUGCAGAUUCAAUAAACUCUUCUGGCAAAUCACCUAUUAUGAAAGAAUUCCUAGCUGGCCACAACAAGAAGACAUGCGAUAAUGCAUCAAGAGGACCUGAUGCCCCCAGAAGCCUGGAUUGCUGGAUAUGCAUGUUUCUGUGAUGUACACAUAUACUCACACAUUUAUAAAACUACUGGUAUAUGUUGUGCCCUUGGUUUUAUUCUCUGUGUAUUUGAACUUUAUAAUAAAAAUACUUUUCACUGUGU
This 351-nucleotide long non-coding RNA is filed under the name Rattus norvegicus (Norway rat). RNAcentral describes it as "long non-coding RNA NONRATT032851". Lineage: Eukaryota; Metazoa; Chordata; Mammalia; Rodentia; Muridae. The record is from RNAcentral.